Molecule: long non-coding RNA, 633 nt
Organism: Capsicum annuum
Lineage: Eukaryota; Viridiplantae; Streptophyta; Magnoliopsida; Solanales; Solanaceae
Exons: 2
Source: RefSeq, a predicted model, not a curated record
CCCCUUACCCCUUACCCCUUACCCCUUACCCCUUACUCCGCGGGACCCCACACAGCAACAAUACAAUAUACAGACUUUUAUUUUCCAUAAAAAAAGAGACACUUUUUUUUUCUCUUCUUCCAGAAUACACCAAAUACACUCACGAGACACCAUAUACACACAGGCCAUUUCUCUUUUCUUCAUCCCUGGUCUCACAAAUUGACAACACGGCAAUACACAGCUCUCAUAUACACACUCAACACACACACCGACACACCGUGAUACACAUACACCACUGGAAUACGCACCCACACAGUGAGGUUCGAUGGGGAUCGGGAAACUGAGAGAAAAGGGGGACUCUAUUGUUUUUCCUUUUUCAGUUUUCUCUUGGCAAUACAGACACCCACACAAUUUUGGGGGCUCCAUUUUUUCCUUUUCUUGUUCCCAACAGGCGCACAUAGUUGAGAGAAAGAGCGCAAUGGACUGAAUACGGAAAGGGAAUGAGCGGAAUAGUGAACUGUUUCAGGUUUCAAAUUCCUCAAUACCGAGUUGGAUUUCAUGCUGUGGAGGUUAUCUAUUUGGGGUUUCGAAUUCGGAUUUCUUUAACUUAUUAUUAUCAACAAAAAAUCAAUUAUCAAAAGGUCCAAUUCCAUC